AUUGAACGCUGGCGGCAGGCUUAACACAUGCAAGUCGAGCGAGCGGCGGACGGGUGAGUAAUGUCUGGGAAACUGCCUGAUGGAGGGGGAUAACUACUGGAAACGGUAGCUAAUACCGCAUACCAUCAGAUGUGCCCAGAUGGGAUUAGCUAGUAGGUGGGGUAAUGGCGCACCUAGGCGACGAUCCCUAGCUGGGCUGGGAGGAUGACAAGCCACACGGGAACUGAGACACGGUGCAGCCUCCUACGGGAGGCAGCGGUGGAGAAGAUUGCACAAUGGGCGCAAGCCGGAUGCAGCCAUGCCGCGUGGGUGAAGGAGGCCUUCGGGUUGUAAAGCACUUUCAGCGAGGAGGCGUUACUCGCAGAAGAAGCACCGGCUAACUCCGUGCCAGCAGCCGCGGUAAUAC
RNAcentral lists this ribosomal RNA (406 nucleotides) under uncultured bacterium. Its description in RNAcentral is "partial 16S ribosomal RNA". It matches the Rfam family "Bacterial small subunit ribosomal RNA", at positions 29 to 526 of the family's 1533-position model. The record is from RNAcentral.